Molecule: long non-coding RNA, 750 nt
Organism: Saccostrea echinata
Lineage: Eukaryota; Metazoa; Mollusca; Bivalvia; Ostreida; Ostreidae
Exons: 4
Source: RefSeq, a predicted model, not a curated record
UCUAUUACUUAACCAGUCAAGCAGUUCGGGAAAAUUAAUUCCGGUAUGGUUUCAGUUUUAUAUUAUGUAGCUGAGUACAUCGAUCCCGAAGUUAGUUUAGCGGCGGGAGAAAUAACGUUUGGCAUGAUUAGCAAGAACUGAAAAUGAAACGGAAGUAGAAAUGAAGAGGUCACAAAGAAAAAUACACCGAAACAUUGAUGCUACAUCGAUGAGCUGUGUUAUGUGCAUUGUAUAAGAAAAAAGAAGCGGACUGGCGGCCGGAGGGGAAUCAAACUUGGACUCCUGUAUAGCUUGUAAGCUGCUCUAAUCCACCCAUGCCGACAUCCCGGUCAGCACAAUCCAAACCACUAAGUGUAUCUGGUCACCAGCAAUUGGACCUGCCUGAGCUUCUUGUAUCUGAUCACCAGCAAUUGAACUUGCCUAUCUGCCAUUUUCAUCUAGUUGGAAAUGAUGUAGUUUACUCAAUGGUGUGUAGACUGUCAACAUGUGAAACCUACAUAGUCUCCUCUGUUAAAGAUCACUAAUGGUGGAUAAACAAUGAGUGAUGCAGACUGUUCACCAAAAGGGAGUUUUGACACCUGUAUGCCUAUAUUUCUACCAAUCACCCUGUUAUCUUUUUUGUCAUGUUCUUUGGACAGGUAAAAUAACAAGGUAAAACAAGUAGAAAGAAAAGGCUGGAGCAAAGAUGAGAAAAGAUAGGUUAACAUAGUUGUCAUUUGAUAAAAUCAAAAGAUGCUAUUCAGUACCCAC